AUCAACGGAAAGCUUUUGGCUAGGGUUUGACUGAUAAGCAGCUGAGGGUUUUCAGUUUACGCAGAUGGAGGCAGUGAGUUUGAGGCAGCAAAUGCAUAACUUGUAGAAUUAUGAAUGGGAAAAGUGAUGGUACCGAUGACUUUCUUGCAAGUUAUGCAGUUGCUGCCUCAAGCUUGCUGCCUCCCUCUGCCAAAACUAGUGUGGACAAAAUAACCCAUGUCAAUGCAUUAUGGUAAUGUGAUGAUUCAAAGAUUGUCCUUGAUUAAUGUUAAAAUCCAACAAGCUUAAAAUUUGAAGUUUCCUCACGGUCAAACAAUGAGUAUUGCUUAUGACAUUUUUUUAACUAAAUGAUCUAUUGCAAGGAGGCCCAUCAUUUGCUAGUAUGUUUGAGAUCUUAGUCAGAUUUUGCUUCAGUGAUCUUCACAGAUUCGCUGAUCUUGUCGGAGUCAAACCUUAUAAUGCUAUUCUGGUUAGAUAAGAAUCGGUUGAGAAUGUCUGCAGACCGUCUCAUGUCAGCUUUGAUGCAAAACAUAUCUUUGGCCUAUAGCAUUCAGUAAUGUUCUGCAUAACACAUUUGCUAGCGUUAUAUAUUGUUUGGGACACAGUGUGGGUACUCCUCUUUCAACUAUUUCUAGGUGAAUGCUGUCCAUUACAUCUCCUUCACAUGAGAUGGGUGAUUUGCAGAUGUCUCA
This 692-nucleotide microRNA precursor is filed under the name Dioscorea bulbifera (air-potato). RNAcentral describes it as "partial MIR444 transcript variant 2d_1". The record is from RNAcentral. Lineage: Eukaryota; Viridiplantae; Streptophyta; Magnoliopsida; Dioscoreales; Dioscoreaceae.